Molecule: non-coding RNA, 216 nt
Organism: Cyanistes caeruleus (blue tit)
Lineage: Eukaryota; Metazoa; Chordata; Aves; Passeriformes; Paridae
Source: RefSeq, a predicted model, not a curated record
GCAUGAGACGUCCCACGGAAUUCCCGGAAUUUCCCAGCCUGGAAAACUCCCCCGGAUCCCUGGAAAAUUCCGGAGGGGACCCCAAAUCCUCCUGGAAUCCAGAGGAGGCCGGGCCGGGGCUGAGGCUGCGCCUGCCCAGGGACCCCCCCGGGGAUCGGCCCAAGCAGAAGCCGGUGGGAAGAGCCUUUGCCAUGGUGGCCAAAAGAUCCGACGGGA